This is a long non-coding RNA of Stomoxys calcitrans (stable fly), 299 nucleotides long. RefSeq lists it as uncharacterized. Lineage: Eukaryota; Metazoa; Arthropoda; Insecta; Diptera; Muscidae. The transcript has 2 exons. The record is from RefSeq and is a predicted model, not a curated record.
UGAUGGAAAUAUACAGAAUCGAGCAAAGCGUUAAAGCGUUAACCCAUGCGCCUUUUGCUGCAAACGAAUCUCUAAAAAUCGGAUUAUUUAUUAAACAAAUCCUAAAAAAUCGUCAACUUAUAAAUGGUUUCAAAGAAAAAACGUCAAGCGUCAAAUGGCCAACUUUUGGACAAAAGCUCGUUAAAAUGGCGUAAAAUCGUCUUGUCUGGCAGCCCUGGUGACUAUAAAAAUUCAAGUAAUGUUUUCUUAAUUUAAAAUAUAAAAUCUAUAUACAAUACAUGGAGCUCCAGUAAAAGUAA